This 261-nucleotide ribosomal RNA is filed under the name uncultured bacterium. Its description in RNAcentral is "partial 16S ribosomal RNA". It matches the Rfam family "Bacterial small subunit ribosomal RNA", at positions 524 to 776 of the family's 1533-position model. The record is from RNAcentral.
UACGGAGGGUGCAAGCGUUAUUCCGGAUUCAUCUGGGUUUAAAGGGUUAGCGUAGGCGGGUUGGUAAGUCCGUGGUGAAAAUCCCCAAGCUUAACUUGGGAACUGCCGUGGAUACUAUCAAUCUUGAAUAUCGUGGAGGUAAGCGGAAUAUGUCAUGUAGCGGUGAAAUGACUUAGAAUAUGACAUAGAACACCAAUUGCGUAGGCAGCUUACUACACGAUCAAUUGACGCUGAGGCACGAAAGCGUGGGGAGCAAACAGG